AACGAACGCUGGCGGCAUGCCUAACACAUGCCAGUCGAACGAGACCUACGGGGCUCGUGGCGUACGGGUGCGUAACGCGUGAGAGCCUGCCAUUAGGUUCGGAAUAACUCCCCGACAUGGGUGCUAAUAUCGGAUAAUGUCUUCGGUCCAAAGAUUUCUCGCCUUUGGAUGGGCCCGCGUUGGAUUAGCUAGUUGGUAGGGUAAAGGGCUAUCACGGCGACGAUCCAUAGCGGGUCUGAGAGGAUGAUCAGCAACACUGGGACUGAGACACGGCCCAGACUACUACGGGAGGCAGCAGUGGGGAAGAAUGGACAAUGGGCGAAAGCCUGAUCCAGCAAGGACGCGUGAGGGAUGAAGGCCUUAGGGUUGUAAAGCUCGUUUACCCGGGAGGAGAAUGAAAUGACCGGGAGAAUAAGCGCCGGCUAACUACGUG
This 433-nucleotide ribosomal RNA is filed under the name uncultured bacterium. RNAcentral's name for it is "partial 16S ribosomal RNA". It matches the Rfam family "Bacterial small subunit ribosomal RNA", at positions 29 to 507 of the family's 1533-position model. The record is from RNAcentral.